RNAcentral lists this ribosomal RNA (542 nucleotides) under Rhacophorus reinwardtii (Reinwardt's flying frog). RNAcentral's name for it is "partial 16S ribosomal RNA". It matches the Rfam family "Bacterial large subunit ribosomal RNA", at positions 1850 to 2610 of the family's 2925-position model. The record is from RNAcentral. Lineage: Eukaryota; Metazoa; Chordata; Amphibia; Anura; Rhacophoridae.
AGGUCCAGCCUGCCCAGUGAUAAAUUUAACGGCCGCGGUAUCCUAACCGUGCGAAGGUAGCAUAAUCACUUGUUCUUUAAAUGGGGACUAGUAUCAACGGCAUCACGAGGGUUGCACUGUCUCCUUUUUCUAAUCAGUGAAACUGAUCUCCCCGUGAAGAAGCGGGGAUACAACAAUAAGACGAGAAGACCCCAUGGAGCUUUAAAUCUAACAGCAACUCUACCAUACAAUUCCCCACAACCACAGAGCUGUGCAUGUAGAUUUUAGGUUGGGGCGACCGCGGAGUAAAAAUUACCCUCCACGACGAAAAGAGCUAAACCCUUAUCCUAGAGAUACCCCUCCAAGAAUUAGUACACUAACGAACUAUGACCCGAUAAUCGAUUAACGGACCAAGUUACCCUGGGGAUAACAGCGCAAUCUACUUCGAGAGCCCAUAUCGACAGGUAGGCUUACGACCUCGAUGUUGGAUCAGGGUACCCAAAUGGUGCAGCCGCUAUUAAUGGUUCGUUUGUUCAACGAUUAAAACCCUACGUGAUCUGAGU